This 853-nucleotide ribosomal RNA is filed under the name uncultured Flavobacteriaceae bacterium. RNAcentral's name for it is "bacterial SSU rRNA". It matches the Rfam family "Bacterial small subunit ribosomal RNA", at positions 44 to 887 of the family's 1533-position model. The record is from RNAcentral. Lineage: Bacteria; Pseudomonadati; Bacteroidota; Flavobacteriia; Flavobacteriales; Flavobacteriaceae.
ACGCUUCAUACAUGCAAGUCGAGGGGCAGCAUAAAGUACUUGUACUUUGAUGGCGACCGGCGAACGGGUGCGUAACGCGUAUGCAACUUACCUUUUACUAGAGAAUAGCCAAGAGAAAUUUUGAUUAAUGCUCUAUACUCUUUUUAACUCACAUGAGUUUUUAAGAAAAGCUCCGGCGGUAAAAGAUGGGCAUGCGUCCUAUUAGCUUGUAGGUGAGGUAACGGCUCACCUAAGCUCCGAUAGGUAGGGGUCCUGAGAGGGAGAUCCCCCACACUGGUACUGAGACACGGACCAGACUUCUACGGAAGGCAGCAGUAAGGAAUAUUGGACAAUGGAGGAAACUCUGAUCCAGCGAUGCCGCGUGAAGGAAGACGGCCCUAUGGGUUGUAAACUUCUUUUAUACAGGAAGAAACCUUUCCACGUGUGGAAAGCUGACGGUACUGUAAGAAUAAGGAUCGGCUAACUCCGUGCCAGCAGCCGCGGUAAUACGGAGGAUCCAAGCGUUAUCCGGAAUUAUUGGGUUUAAAGGGUCCGCAGGCUGUUUGUUAAGUCAGGGGUGAAAUCCUACCGCUCAACGGUAGAACUGCCUUUGAUACUGGCAAACUUGAGUUAUUGUGAAGUAGUUAGAAUGUGUAGUGUAGCGGUGAAAUGCAUAGAUAUUACACAGAAUACCAAUUGCGAAGGCAGAUUACUAACAAUUAACUGACGCUGAGGGACGAAAGCGUGGGUAGCGAACAGGAUUAGAUACCCUGGUAGUCCACGCCGUAAACGAUGGUCACUAGCUGUUCGAUGUACAUUGGUACAUUGAGUGGCUAAGCGAAAGUGAUAAGUGACCCACCUGGGGAGUACGCUC